RNAcentral lists this ribosomal RNA (429 nucleotides) under uncultured Achromobacter sp. RNAcentral describes it as "bacterial SSU rRNA". It matches the Rfam family "Bacterial small subunit ribosomal RNA", at positions 355 to 776 of the family's 1533-position model. Lineage: Bacteria; Pseudomonadati; Pseudomonadota; Betaproteobacteria; Burkholderiales; Alcaligenaceae. The record is from RNAcentral.
UGGGGAAUUUUGGACAAUGGGGGAAACCCUGAUCCAGCCAUCCCGCGUGUGCGAUGAAGGCCUUCGGGUUGUAAAGCACUUUUGGCAGGAAAGAAACGUCGUGGGUUAAUACCCCGCGAAACUGACGGUACCUGCAGAAUAAGCACCGGCUAACUACGUGCCAGCAGCCGCGGUAAUACGUAGGGUGCAAGCGUUAAUCGGAAUUACUGGGCGUAAAGCGUGCGCAGGCGGUUCGGAAAGAAAGAUGUGAAAUCCCAGAGCUUAACUUUGGAACUGCAUUUUUAACUACCGGGCUAGAGUGUGUCAGAGGGAGGUGGAAUUCCGCGUGUAGCAGUGAAAUGCGUAGAUAUGCGGAGGAACACCGAUGGCGAAGGCAGCCUCCUGGGAUAACACUGACGCUCAUGCACGAAAGCGUGGGGAGCAAACAGG